CUUAAAGCCCUAAAUGGCGGCUUCAAUAUCAGUCCCACUGAGCAUGAAAUUCAUUUACUUAAAUAAAAUCUGAAUCUCAGCCCAAACCUGGGAGAUUCAAAACCUGAGAGCGGUCUUACCAAAGACGCCCGUAUGUCUGGUGAAGUCAGUUGGAUGCAAGCAGUUUGUGCUGGUACCAGGGCCCCAGCUACUGAUGAAGUGGCAGGAGUCCACAGAAGCCUACUUCGAAGUUCCCGGGGCUUCCAGGGGAGAUUGACGAGAUUCCUGGGGAGGCGAUUCAUGACAGCUGAGUUCCUUUUGGAGGAUCCGUCUUCAGGCAGUCUGAUCCCCCAGGAAAGCAGCUGGAAAACAAGAGCAUGUGAAGGAAGCGCAGCAGCUCCUCGCCAGCCAGACAGCCAGCCCCGCACCGCAGGAGUCGACAUGCACGGCAGCCUAGACGCCAUCAGUUAAACUUAUAUGUAGGCUUGUUGAGGAAAACGACUUUCAAACACAAGGCAAAAGAAAAACAUGAAACCAAGGGUUCCAACAUUCAUCAUCCAGUUUCAGAGACACCCUUGAAGGAAUGCUACAGCCUCUUUCUUACCCAUUCAAACCAGUCGCUCUGCUGCAUACCCACAUCACAGGAGGCCCUCAGCCCCGACACACAGGCUCACUCAGCCCGGGGACAUCAGCACCUGUGCCAGCUCCGCAAGGUAUCCACCAUGCGGCCAGAACUGAGGCCCAGCAAUAGCUGAAAUGUCCUUUAAAUUAACAUGUACAACACACAACCCCCAAGAGCUGACAUCCCCAAAGCCCCACCACAAAUAGCUGACUCCUACUUAUACCUGCAGGAGCAGGUAGUGACCUCUGCAAUUCUAAACCGUCCACUUUGGGCAAAAUUCAUCAAGCUAUGGAUAUGAAAAAAGGCCCCCAAGGAUAUGAUUCAUAGUCCAGCGUUUGAGUGAGCACUCCAGUCAGAACGAACUCUGCAUUGUGAACAUCUGAACAGGGUGGAAACAGACACUUUAGUUAGAGAUCCACUGCUGUGCGUGCACACAUACUCACACAGGGCAAUGACGGACUCGCUGGCGGACUCCACUCUACCCACCGAGUUCUGCUUGUGCUCCAUGAGCUUCCGGAAAGAUGGCUGCUUGGAUAACACCUUUCCUCCUGCACACUCUACGAUUGCCUUCAUAGUGGAAAGACUUGGGCAGAUUCCAGGUGUGAUGUAAAAAUAUUUUGCCUAAAAUUAAAUGAAAAUAUAUGUAUUAUGUUCUUAAAA
This 1261-nucleotide long non-coding RNA is filed under the name Homo sapiens (human). Its description in RNAcentral is "HSALNT0344276". The record is from RNAcentral. Lineage: Eukaryota; Metazoa; Chordata; Mammalia; Primates; Hominidae.